RNAcentral lists this long non-coding RNA (3411 nucleotides) under Homo sapiens (human). RNAcentral's name for it is "HSALNT0375423". Lineage: Eukaryota; Metazoa; Chordata; Mammalia; Primates; Hominidae. The record is from RNAcentral.
CGGGGGACGCUGAGGGGACUCAUGCGGCGGGUGCUGAAGGACGUGGGGCGCUGAGGGGAUGCAUGCGCGGGGCAGUGAGGGACAUGGGGACGCUGAGGCAGCGCACGCGGGCCACCAUCGGCCAAGGAUGAGACCAUUAGAACAUCUGCAAUGGGUUGAAACGCCUCGAAUGCAGUAAGAUCCAGGAGUUAUAACGAUACUAAAAAUAGCAACAAUGACCCAAGUCACCUUUGGACAUGCUAAAAACCAGCGGUACCUCAGGAUGACCAAAUAGUUGAUGAGAAAAAAUCCCUCUUCAGAAAAGUAUUACAGCUCACAGGUGAAGAAAGGAGACACAGAAUCGGAGCAUCUUCCCUCCGAAGCCCCACAAUGGAAUCACCGGUGCAGGGAGAUGGCCAGGCCUGCGGCACCCGAGAGAGGCCGUCUGACCCGGGUCCUCUGUGCAGGCAGAGCCCCCUCCGGUGUUGUGUUCCCGCCAAAACUGGCCGCGAAUCGCAGAUGAUGAUGCCGGGAUCCGCGCCCUUGCAGGAGAGACGGGGGUGUGGGGAGGAUGCCGGCAGCUCAGGGCACAGUCCAGACCUGGGGACACCACGGGACAAAAGACAAGUCACGAGAGGAAGAAGCGGAGAGAACCAAGGAUUUUUUCCUGGUUGGAAAAAACAGAGUCUUAAAAAUCCUGUGGGAUGCCAGGGAGUCCUGGGCGCUGAUAUCUGGUGGCAUUAAGGAGUCACCAUCAAUUAUUUUAGGCAUAAAUACAGAACUGGGGUUGGGUGGGGUGUUUGGUUCUUAUCUUUGAGAAUACUUUCUGAAGUGUUUAUGGAUAAAAUAAUAUGAUGUCUGGAACUGUUUUAAAAUAGCCCAGUGAGGAAGCGGGUGGGGUGCUGGCCUUGGCAGGAACACGGGGCCAUUGUGCUGGUCUCUCGCGUUGUGUUGGAACUCACUAUAAACAGCACCAGCGAGGGACGGCAGCCUGCCCUGUGCCUGCCCUGAGGUCACUCUCACUGUGAACUCGGCUCCCUCCAGCCCAGCUCUCACAGGGUCACAGGUGGUGGCUUCAGCCAAUGUCCUGUGCAGGCUUCUUCCUGAAGGAACACAGAGUCCUGAGAGUGGGAUUUCCUGUGGUGAUUCUUCGGUCUCAGAGUCCCGAGGGACACGCGUGUUUGAGAAUCUUCUCCAUGUCCAUCUGGAUGAUCUUCGCCUUCAUUCUCCUCUCCUAUUAAAUGGAGGCCAUCAGCACACUUAGACACGCCUGCCAGCUUUAAGAGUUUAGAGCUAAACAAAUGAAGCACACAGUGCACUUCAAAGACUUCGAGAGGAAGGCUCAGUGUGCACAGAGGCCCCAGGAACCCUGAGCUUCCCCAGGAUGCCCAUCCUGAGCCCUCGGGGGCCAUCUAACCCACUCAAACUCCAAACACUAGUCUCUCCCCCAUCACAAGGAAAGACAGGCAUGGUCCCCCACCCAUCAGCGGUGUUGCUGAAUCUGGCAGCCACUGUGUUUGUCAGACCUGCCUGCCUUGUUCAGCAGGGAAACCACUUGCUAUGAUGAAUGGAGCUGCAUGUGAAACUUAGAUAAGCAGGCAGGUCGAAAACACCUCCUGUGCCAGCAUUCCAGUUUUCUUGCUUGGCCCAAGAACCUGGUUUCAUUUUGGAAGGUGGAGGGAGUGUGUGGCGACCUUGUUGCCAUUUUCAGGCAUGGCUGGGCUCUCACACAGUCACUCUUAGAACAGACAUGUCCCUGCCUGGAGGCCAGGCCCUCUUGGGUUGUGGGAACCAAGCCCAAAAAUGUCAAACAAGUGGCAAAACCUUUAGGGUAAUUUUCCUCUAACUCAAAAAACACCUGGCCGCUUCUCCUCCCCAGAUGUUAAAGGUCCUUUUAUUAGCAUUGUCCUAUUGUGUUUUUUUCAUUUCUCAGACACAGACACAGGAAGCAUCAACUCUGAGGCUUUGGCCAGGAUGUGAGCCCGACUUUCGCAGCCCCAACUGGCAGGCUGACCUCAUGUGAACUCCCUGGCGAUGGCAUCCUGGAGACACCCACAUGGCUGAGCUGGCACCAUAGGGUGAGGGCACCAGGGCCAUGGGGACCGUGGUUGCUUGCCUCAGACAUGGCCAGCAAGGGAGGCACAACAUGGGGCUGUUGAGUGAAUGUGUGAGAGGCUGUGGGUCCCCACAGUCCAGCCACCAGCGGCCUCGCAGCAUCAUAGGAGUCUGAGGUCCAAGACACCGGACUCACAUCUCAACCCUGCCCUGUGCUGCUCAGGGCCAAGUCUAAGCUGCUGUGACAAAGAGGCCCCCACAUGCAGCAGCUGCCACAGAACACGGUCAUCUGUUUUUCAUGCACGCUGUAGCCCUGGUCAUUCCAGCCAGAGCCUCCAGGUUUUGUUGCUCUUCCAGGGCACGUUCUGGGCUGUGUGAUGGAGGCUGGACUGUGGGCUCCUCUGAGGAGGUAGAGGGAUGCGCACCAGGGCCCCCGUGUUGAGGCUCGGCUCCCACCCCAUCACCUCUACUCUAGUGAGGCCACUUCCUGCGAAGGUAGCUGGAUGCUCCUGCCUGGAGCUGCCCCCGGACCACAGAGCAUCCAGGAGAUGAAUGCACUUCCAGCCCCGCCACCCUGGGGAGAUAUACAGCUGAGGUGGCAGCUUUGGAGCAAGCAGGGCAGAGAUGCUUCCCCCUGAGGUCCCUCCCAGCUCUGCUACCUUGUCACUCAAGCACUCAUAAUCCAGGUUCAGUUUCUGCCAGCACUAAUUUGGUUUAUUCCACAUGGCUGGAGCCACUGCGGGACUCCAUUUGUUCCGGGGCCACCUUCCUGUCACCUUUUACUGUUUCUUGAGUCAGCAAGAAAGGCAGAUCCGACUGAAGACUCCAGCACUCUCCUCAGCUGCAGCCCCCACAGAGCUCCGCGAAGUCCUUUCUCCCACAGGACAGAUCUGAGGCACCCACCAUUAGAAGAAAGGAGUGGAGAAAUGAUAUGCAGGAAGAAGGCCCAUUCUGAUUCACCAAUCGCAUGGACGCACUUUCCUACCAGGCUAGGAGGGAGGAAAGUAGAGCCCCACCCUGACUGCUAAGCCGUUUGCUUUGGUGUCAUGAAAAAAGAGUUCAGCUUCCCAAAUCAGAGAGGAAAAGGUUUUCAAGGGGUCCCCUAUUUCUAUUAUGUAAGCUUUAAAUGACAAAGUGGACCUCUGGGGCCAACGUGGGUGUGUGAUGGUGGUUUUGUGGGAUUCUCCCCAUAGCCCCAUCAGACGGCCUCACCUUCUGGGUCUCAGUGGCCCCAGGUGCAACACGGCUCCUCCAGAAAUGAUGACAGCCCUGGCGACCAAGGACUCCCUGUGCCACUGGGUUUGCGCUCAGAAGUAUAUUCAAUGAUUUCCCCAGAAAAUUCCAAGUCAUCUCCUAAUACUGUUUGUGAAAACUAAA